GAUGAACGCUGGCGGCGUGGUUAAGACAUGCAAGUCGAACGGUUUUUCAGGUGUAGCAAUACAUCUGAAAAGCAGUGGCGAACGGGUGCGUAACACGUGAACAAUCUACCUUCAAAUGGGGAAUAGCUCGCCGAAAGGCGAAUUAAUACCGCAUAUGGUUGCCUCUCGCAUGAGAGGCAUACCAAAGUCAGGGACCGCAAGGCCUGACGUUAGAAGAGGAGUUGGCGGCCUAUCAGCUAGUUGGCGAGGUAACGGCUCACCAAGGCUAAGACGGGUAGGUUGUAUGAGAGUAUGAUCAGCCACAAUGGAAAUGAGAAACGGUCCAAAAACCUACGGGUGGCAUCAGUUUCGAAUCAUUCACAAUGGGCGAAAGCCUGAUGGUGCGACGCCGCGUGAGGGAUGAAGGUCUUCGGAUUGUAAACCUCUGUCACCGGGGAAGAAACGCUUCAAGUUAAUAGCUUGAAGCCUGACUUAACCCGGAGAGGAAGCAGUGGCUAACUCUGUGCCAGCAGCCGCCGUAA
This 521-nucleotide ribosomal RNA is filed under the name uncultured bacterium. RNAcentral's name for it is "partial 16S ribosomal RNA". It matches the Rfam family "Bacterial small subunit ribosomal RNA", at positions 28 to 523 of the family's 1533-position model. The record is from RNAcentral.